Long non-coding RNA from Lycium ferocissimum, 1496 nucleotides. RefSeq lists it as uncharacterized. NCBI's taxonomy places the organism in Eukaryota, Viridiplantae, Streptophyta, Magnoliopsida, Solanales, Solanaceae. The record is from RefSeq and is a predicted model, not a curated record. The transcript is spliced from 3 exons.
CAUGCACAACAAGUUCUCAGUAAUUCGUUAUUGUACUAGUAAUAUGAGCUACGGUGUAUUCAUGUCGUAUUUAAUUAUGCUGCAUAUGCCUUGAUUCUGUUUCAAAGAUAAAAUUUCCCAUGUCUUAUUUUGGUUUUCUUCACUUGUUCUAUCAAUACUAAGUAUUACCUGUAAAAAUGACAUCGUGUAGUUUUUCAAUUAUCUGUGCAUUCUGACGGUAUUAAUCAGAUCCUCUCUGUCUAUCUUUUUUCUUAUGAAUUUGCUCGCUGGAUAUUGUGGAUCAUUCAAAAUUGAUUGAAAUUUGUUGCCGAUUAGUUUUGCGAGGUCGUCAGGCAUGCGUAAGAAGUACAAUGAAGACUACUUUGAAACAAUAUUGAAGCUACAAGUGUUAUUAAAUAUACAUUUAUUUAUUGCACCAAUAUUUUAAUAGAUGUGAGAAAACUAACUUAUAUUUCUUCUUUGAAGCCUCGAUUUCUUUUCCAGGUAAGUGAGUCUAUUGCAUAUAGAUAUUCCAAUGCUAGUAUUUCAAAGAAGUGGGCUACACAUAGGCAGAGGUUGUGGAAUGAAUAGUUUGACCCAGCCCAAAAGCAAAAAUGAGAUUAUAAGUAAUGUGCCAUAAGGUAUAAAUAAAGAUCAAUGGGCUAGUUUUGUUGCUUACCACGAAAAACCAUUAACACUGGAGCUUUGUAGAAGAAAUAAAAAAAUUCAAAGGAAGAAAAAAAGUCAUACUGAUGUUUCAAAAGCUAACUCGAGAAGACGAUAUGAGCAGGCAUGAGCAUUAACUUAAUAGUUUUACUUUUUAUUUAAUUAAACUGUUUUAGGAUAACUUUUAUAAUACAUUUCUUUCUUAGUUUCUAGAAAUUGAAAAAAGCCCUAGCCGUGGAAAAAUGUUUAUUGAAACUCAUAAGAGAAAGAACGGAUCAUUUGUGAAUGAUGAGGCACAGACUAUAGGGGAAUAACUUGAAUUGAAUGCCGAUGAGUCUGAAGUUUCCCGCAUGAUAUUAUUAGCAAGACAUUAGGGGCAGAGCACUCUGGAGAGUAAGAUGUAUGGCUAUGGGAGCAGCUCCUUCAAACACAUUCUUAAAUACCAAAUGAUGACUUAGCGAGCUAAGCAUUUCUUACUAGCUACAAUGCAUCAUCUGCAACUUCUAGCUAUUUGCAUCAAAAGGUUGCUCGUUUGGAUUAGAAGGAACCUUGACUGUUGAAGGAUUACGUGAUAUCAAAAGAAUGAGGGGUUCCUGAAGAAUAUAAUUUACUGAUCUGUUUGCUACUCAAAUACAGGUAAGAAGUAGAUAGUUUGUACUACUUCUGAUCAGCUUAAUAACACUAUAUUUCUAUGUGAUAUCAAAAUGAAACAAUCUCUACCUGGUUACUCAGCCAAAUUUUUCUUAUGGUAGUCAGAAACCAUCACAAAUUGACAAAAACCUCCACAAAAUAGUUGUUUUCUUAUAGUGUCAUAGCAGCAGCGGCCUGGUUUAAUUAUUUAUAAUGUUGCU